GAUGAACGCUGGCGGCGUGCCUAAUACAUGCAAGUCGAGCGAACAGACGAGGAGCUUGCUCCUCUGACGUUAGCGGCGGACGGGUGAGUAACACGUGGAUAACCUACCUAUAAGACUGGGAUAACUUCGGGAAACCGGAGCUAAUACCGGAUAAUAUAUUGAACCGCAUGGUUCAAUAGUGAAAGACGGUUUUGCUGUCACUUAUAGAUGGAUCCGCGCCGCAUUAGCUAGUUGGUAAGGUAACGGCUUACCAAGGCGACGAUGCGUAGCCGACCUGAGAGGGUGAGCGGCCACCAGGGAACUGAGACACGGUCAAGACUCCUACGGGAGGCAGCAGUAGGGAAUCUUCCGCAAUGGGCGAAAGCCUGACGGAGCAACGUCGCGUGAGUGAUGAAGGUCUUCGGAUCGUAAAACUCUGUUAUUAGGGAAGAACAAAUGUGUAAGUAACUAUGCACGUCUUGACGGUACCUAAUCAGAAAGCCACGGCUAACUACGUG
This 497-nucleotide ribosomal RNA is filed under the name uncultured bacterium. Its description in RNAcentral is "partial 16S ribosomal RNA". It matches the Rfam family "Bacterial small subunit ribosomal RNA", at positions 28 to 507 of the family's 1533-position model. The record is from RNAcentral.